GACGAACGCUGGCGGCGUGCUUAACACAUGCAAGUCGAACGGAAAGGCCCUGCUUUUGUGGGGUGCUCGAGUGGCGAACGGGUGAGUAACACGUGAGUAACCUGCCCUUGACUUUGGGAUAACUUCAGGAAACUGGGGCUAAUACCGGAUAGGAGCUCCUGCUGCAUGGUGGGGGUUGGAAAGUUUCGGCGGUUGGGGAUGGACUCGCGGCUUAUCAGCUUGUUGGUGGGGUAGUGGCUUACCAAGGCUUUGACGGGUAGCCGGCCUGAGAGGGUGACCGGCCACAUUGGGACUGAGAUACGGCCCAGAAUCCUACGGGAGGCAGCAGUGGGGAACCUUGCACAACGGGCGGAAGCCUGAUGCAGCAACGCUGCGUGCGGGAUGACGGCCUUCGGGUUGUAAACCGCUUUCGCAUGUGACGAAGCGUGAGUGACGGUAAUGGGUAAAGAAGCACCGGCUAACUACGUG
Molecule: ribosomal RNA, 468 nt
Filed under: uncultured bacterium
Lineage: Bacteria
Description: partial 16S ribosomal RNA
Rfam family: Bacterial small subunit ribosomal RNA
Source: RNAcentral